GUCCUUGCCACCUUGGACGCCACGUGUCGACCCAAAUAUUACACCAAAGAAUUGGAGAAGGCCCUGAAUGUUGGACUGCGUUUUGGCAUAAUACGCGAAAUGAAUAAUAAAUAUUAUCUGUAUGAAUAUGCGAAAAUAAAUUCGCUCGGAAAAAUUACAUACGAGUUUACCUAAAACCCCCUGAGUCCUUUCCGAUGCAUAAACAAGGACGAGGAGGACGACGAUGAUGAACAAGAGGACGACGAUGAUGAACAAGAGGAAGAGGAUGAUGAAGACGAGGAAGAGGAUGAUGACGACGAGGAAACUGACAAAAAAUGCUCACACCAAAAUGAUAUGGAAACCGAUUUGGUAGAAAAAUCAACAGAAGCUCGUGCCAAGAUUGUUGGUGAUAAAUUAAAUUAUAUAUAAGGGAAGAUUAUAACAAUUAUUAUUUUCUGCUUAUUUAAGAAAGAGGCGCUCAACUUCUGAAUAUUUUAGUAAGAUGCAUUUGAACAAUUGACAAUUAUUUAAACAGGAUUAUUACAGCCCACAUUUUGUAUAUGAAUUUAGGAUUCUUAAUAAAAAAAGAUGACGACAAUUAUUCUU
Non-coding RNA from Drosophila melanogaster (fruit fly), 585 nucleotides. Lineage: Eukaryota; Metazoa; Arthropoda; Insecta; Diptera; Drosophilidae. The record is from Ensembl.